Transfer RNA from Colletotrichum fioriniae PJ7, 93 nucleotides. It matches the Rfam family "tRNA". From Rfam's summary of the family: Transfer RNA (tRNA) molecules are approximately 80 nucleotides in length. Their secondary structure includes four short double-helical elements and three loops (D, anti-codon, and T loops). NCBI's taxonomy places the organism in Eukaryota, Fungi, Ascomycota, Sordariomycetes, Glomerellales, Glomerellaceae. The record is from Rfam.
GGGCGCUUGGUCUAGGGGUAUGAUUUUCGCUUCGCACUUCCAACAGGAACGCGCCUUUGUGAAAGGUCGUGGGUUCAAUUCCCACAGUGUCCA